RNAcentral lists this long non-coding RNA (275 nucleotides) under Carica papaya (papaya). RNAcentral's name for it is "long non-coding RNA (CPAP_LNC006496)". The record is from RNAcentral. Lineage: Eukaryota; Viridiplantae; Streptophyta; Magnoliopsida; Brassicales; Caricaceae.
UGCUUCGUUGUGCGUGUAUACCUCAUCUCUACUUCUAGUUCUAAUAUCAAGCGAAAUGCCCCGACGCCUCGACUCAUGCCCAUGUGAACGGAUCACGCCGCCGAACCUCUGUUUUCAUUCUUCUAUUAUGUAAGAUACUCGUAAUAACACUCUUAUCACUUGAUUAGCUUUAAUUAAAUGCACAAAAAAUAUUAAGCAAAUUGUCAAGGCGUUAGGACUCACGUUUUUGAAUAAACCGGCGGACCGUACUCUGGUCCCACGUAACAUUUAAUGCC